RNAcentral lists this ribosomal RNA (879 nucleotides) under uncultured bacterium. Its description in RNAcentral is "bacterial SSU rRNA". It matches the Rfam family "Bacterial small subunit ribosomal RNA", at positions 46 to 928 of the family's 1533-position model. The record is from RNAcentral.
GCUUAUCAUGCAGUCGUGGGGCAGCAGGGGUAGCAAUACCCGCUGGCGACCGGCAAACGGGUGCGGAACACGUACGCAACCUUCCUUUAACUGGAGAAUAGCCCCUCGAAAGAGGGAUUAAUACUCCGUAACAUAUACAUGUGGCAUCACAAGUAUAUUAUAGCUCCGGCGGUUAAAGAUGGGCGUGCGCCUGAUUAGAUAGUUGGCGGGGUAACGGCCCACCAAGUCUGCGAUCAGUAACUGGUGUGAGAGCACGACCAGUCACACGGGCACUGAGACACGGGCCCGACUCCUACGGGAGGCAGCAGUAAGGAAUAUUGGUCAAUGGACGCAAGUCUGAACCAGCCAUGCCGCGUGGAGGAUUAAGGCCCUCUGGGUUGUAAACUCCUUUUAUCUGGGAAGAAAUGCAUUUUUUCUAAAGUGCUUGACGGUACCAGAGGAAUAAGCACCGGCUAACUCCGUGCCAGCAGCCGCGGUAAUACGGAGGGUGCAAGCGUUAUCCGGAUUCACUGGGUUUAAAGGGUGCGUAGGCGGGCAGGUAAGUCCGUGGUGAAAUCUCUGAGCUUAACUCAGAAACUGCCAUGGAUACUAUUUGUCUUGAAUAUUGUGGAGGUAAGCGGAAUAUGUCAUGUAGCGGUGAAAUGCUUAGAUAUGACAUAGAACACCAAUUGCGAAGGCAGCUUACUACACAGUUAUUGACGCUGAGGCACGAAAGCGUGGGGAUCAAACAGGAUUAGAUACCCUGGUAGUCCACGCCCUAAACGAUGAUUACUCGACAUCAGCGAUACACUGUUGGUGUCUGAGCGAAGCAUUAAGUAAUCCACCUGGGAAGUACGAUCGCAAGAUUGAAACUCAAGGAAUUGACGGGGGUCCGCACAA